This 253-nucleotide ribosomal RNA is filed under the name uncultured bacterium. Its description in RNAcentral is "partial 16S ribosomal RNA". It matches the Rfam family "Bacterial small subunit ribosomal RNA", at positions 524 to 776 of the family's 1533-position model. The record is from RNAcentral.
UACGUAGGGGGCAAGCGUUGUCCGGAUUUAUUGGGCGUAAAGAGCGUGUAGGCGGCCAUGUAGGUCCGGUGUGAAAACUCGAGGCUUAACCUCGAGAUGUCAUCGGAAACCAUUUGGCUAGAGUCCGGAAGAGGAGAGUGGAAUUCCUGGUGUAGCGGUGAAAUGCGUAGAUAUUGGGUGGAACACCGGUGGCGAAAGCGGCUCACUGGCCCGGUUCUGACGCUGAGGCGCGAAAGCGUGGGGAGCAAACAGG